CAAUAGCGUAUAUUAAAGUUGUUGCGGUUAAAAAGCUCGUAGUUGGAUUUCUGCUGAAGGCAGCCGGUCCAUGUUCGACAUGCGCAUCUGGAUUGACUUCGGCAUCCUCUCAGAUAACGAUUCUGUGCUUGAUUGCAUGGAGCGGAGUUUGAGACUUUUACUUUGAGGAAAAUAGAGUGUUCACGGCAGGCAAUCGCCCUGAAUAUACUAGCAUGGAAUAAUAAAAUAGGAUCUUGGUUCUAUUUUGUUGGUUUCUAGAACGAAGAUAAUGAUUAAUAGGGACAAUUGGGGGCAUUCGUAUUAACGCGUCAGAGGUGGAAUUCUUGGAUUGCGUUACGACGAACUACUGCGAAAGCAUUUGCCAAGGAUGUUUUCAUUGA
RNAcentral lists this ribosomal RNA (380 nucleotides) under uncultured eukaryote. RNAcentral describes it as "partial 18S ribosomal RNA". It matches the Rfam family "Eukaryotic small subunit ribosomal RNA", at positions 592 to 976 of the family's 1831-position model. The record is from RNAcentral.